GUCUAUGGCCCAAUCCCGGGAGUCUGAUCUCGAGAAGCUAAGCAGGGUCGGGCCCGGUUAGUACUUGGAUGGGAGACCACCUAGGAAGACCAGGUGUUGUAGGCA
This 105-nucleotide ribosomal RNA is filed under the name Pteropus alecto (black flying fox). Lineage: Eukaryota; Metazoa; Chordata; Mammalia; Chiroptera; Pteropodidae. The record is from RNAcentral.